ACGGCUACCUUGUUACGACUUAACCCCAAUCAUUGAGCCUACCUUCGGCUGCAUCCUCCUUGCGGUUAGAUUACAGACUUCGGGUAUUCCCAACUCUCAUGGUUUGACGGGCGGUGUGUACAAGGCCCGGGAACGUAUUCACCGCGACAUGCUGAUUCGCGAUUACUAGCAAUUCCGUCUUCAUGCAGGCGAGUUGCAGCCUGCAAUCUGAACUGAGACGGCUUUUUGGGAUUUGCUCUGAGUCACCUCUUUGCUCCCCUCUGUUCGCCGCCAUUGUAGUACGUGUGUAGCCCAGGUCAUAAAGGGCAUGAUGAUUUGACGUCAUCCCCACCUUCCUCCGUUUUGUCAACGGCAGUCUUGCUAGAGUGCUCUUGCGUAGCAACUAACAAUAAGGGUUGCGCUCGUUGCGGGACUUAACCCAACAUCUCACGACACGAGCUGACGACAACCAUGCACCACCUGUCUCGACUCUCCCCGAAGGGCACCUAAUGUAUCUCUACUUCGUUAGUCGGAUGUCAAGACCUGGUAAGGUUUUUCGCGUUGCGU
RNAcentral lists this ribosomal RNA (546 nucleotides) under uncultured bacterium. RNAcentral describes it as "partial 16S ribosomal RNA". The record is from RNAcentral.